UACGUAGGGUGCGAGCGUUAAUCGGAAUUACUGGGCGUAAAGCGUGCGCAGGCGGUUCGCAAAGUCUGAUGUGAAAGCCCCGGGCUCAACCUGGGAACUGCAUUGGAAACUAACGGGCUCGAGUGUGGCAGAGGGGGGUGGAAUUCCACGUGUAGCAGUGAAAUGCGUAGAGAUGUGGAGGAACACCGAUGGCGAAGGCAGCCCCCUGGGCUAACACUGACGCUCAGGCACGAAAGCGUGGGAAGCAAACAGG
This 253-nucleotide ribosomal RNA is filed under the name uncultured bacterium. RNAcentral's name for it is "partial 16S ribosomal RNA". It matches the Rfam family "Bacterial small subunit ribosomal RNA", at positions 524 to 776 of the family's 1533-position model. The record is from RNAcentral.